UACGAAGGGGGCUAGCGUUGUUCGGAUUUACUGGGCGUAAAGCGCGUGUAGGCGGAUUGAUAAGUUGGGGGUGAAAGCCCAGAGCUCAACUCUGGAACUGCCUUCAAGACUGUCAGUCUGGACUCAAGGAGAGGCGAGUGGAAUUGCGAGUGUAGAGGUGAAAUUCGUAGAUAUUCGCAGGAACACCAGUGGCGAAGGCGACUCGCUGGACUUGUAGUGACGCUGAGACGCGAAAGCGUGGGGAGCAAACAGG
This 253-nucleotide ribosomal RNA is filed under the name uncultured bacterium. RNAcentral's name for it is "partial 16S ribosomal RNA". It matches the Rfam family "Bacterial small subunit ribosomal RNA", at positions 524 to 776 of the family's 1533-position model. The record is from RNAcentral.